AAGUCGAGCGAACAGAUGAAGUGCUUGCACUUCUGACGUUAGCGGCGAACGGGUGAGUAACACGUAAGGAAUCUACCUAUAAGCGGGGGAUAACAUUCGGAAACGGGUGCUAAUACCGCAUAAUAUUUUCUUCCGCAUGGAAGAAGAUUGAAAGACGGCUCUGCUGUCACUUAUAGAUGACCUUGCGGUGCAUUAGUUAGUUGGUGGGGUAAUGGCCUACCAAGACGAUGAUGCAUAGCCGACCUGAGAGGGUGAUCGGCCACAUUGGGACUGAGACACGGCCCAAACUCCUACGGGAGGCAGCAGUAGGGAAUCCUCCGCAAUGGGCGAAAGCCUGACGGAGCAAUGCCGCGUGAGUGAAGAAGGCCUUCGGGUCGUAAAACUCUGUUAUAAGAGAAGAACAAAUUGUAGAGUAACUGCUACAGUCUUGACGGUAUCUUAUCAGAAAGCCACGGCUAACUACGUGCCAGCAGCCGCGGUAAUACGUAGGUGGCAAGCGUUGUCCGGAUUUAUUGGGCGUAAAGGGAGCGCAGGUGGUUUCUUAAGUCUGAUGUGAAAGCCCACGGCUUAACCGUGGAGGGUCAUUGGAAACUGGGAAACUUGAGUACAGAAGAGGAGUGUGGAACUCCAUGUGUAGCGGUGGAAUGCGUAGAUAUAUGGAAGAACACCAGUGGCGAAGGCGACAUUCUGGUCUGUUACUGACACUGAGGCUCAAAAGCGUGGGGAGCAAAC
This 732-nucleotide ribosomal RNA is filed under the name uncultured bacterium. Its description in RNAcentral is "bacterial SSU rRNA". It matches the Rfam family "Bacterial small subunit ribosomal RNA", at positions 59 to 773 of the family's 1533-position model. The record is from RNAcentral.